CACGUAGGGUGCGAGCGUUGUCCGGAAUUAUUGGGCGUAAAGAGCUCGUAGGCGGUGUGUCGCGUCGGCCGUGAAAACCUGCAGCUUAACUGUGGGCGUGCGGUCGAUACGGGCAUCACUGGAGUUCGGCAGGGGAGACUGGAAUUCCUGGUGUAGCGGUGAAAUGCGCAGAUAUCAGGAGGAACACCGGUGUCGAAGGCGGGUCUCUGGGCCGAUACUGACGCUGAGGAGCGAAAGCGUGGGGAGCAAACAGG
Molecule: ribosomal RNA, 254 nt
Filed under: uncultured bacterium
Lineage: Bacteria
Description: partial 16S ribosomal RNA
Rfam family: Bacterial small subunit ribosomal RNA
Source: RNAcentral